This 107-nucleotide small nuclear RNA is filed under the name Octodon degus (degu). The record is from RNAcentral. Lineage: Eukaryota; Metazoa; Chordata; Mammalia; Rodentia; Octodontidae.
GUGCUUACUUCAGCAGCACAUAUACUAAAAUUGAAACAAUACAGAGAAGAUUUGCAUGGCCCCUGCGCAAGGAUGACGUGCAAAUUCAUGAAGCGUUCCACAUUUGU